Molecule: transfer RNA, 79 nt
Filed under: Alysiella crassa
Lineage: Bacteria; Pseudomonadati; Pseudomonadota; Betaproteobacteria; Neisseriales; Neisseriaceae
Description: tRNA-Asp
Rfam family: tRNA
About the family: Transfer RNA (tRNA) molecules are approximately 80 nucleotides in length.
Source: RNAcentral
GCGGUGGUAGCUCAGUUGGUUAGAGUACUGGUACCUGUCACGCCAGUGGUCGCGGGUUCGAGCCCCGUCCACCGCGCCA